RNAcentral lists this non-coding RNA (45 nucleotides) under Schistosoma mansoni. Lineage: Eukaryota; Metazoa; Platyhelminthes; Trematoda; Strigeidida; Schistosomatidae. The record is from RNAcentral.
AUCCAGUUGACCAGUCCAAAGUAGGACGAAACGCGCAUCCUGGAU